GUGCUCACGUUGGCAGCACAUAUACUAAAAUUAGAAUGAUACAGAGAUUAGCAUGGCCCCUGUGCAAGGAUGACAUGCACAUUUAUGAAGCGAAAGUAAAUGAC
Molecule: small nuclear RNA, 104 nt
Organism: Chlorocebus sabaeus (green monkey)
Lineage: Eukaryota; Metazoa; Chordata; Mammalia; Primates; Cercopithecidae
Source: Ensembl